Molecule: long non-coding RNA, 772 nt
Filed under: Nicotiana benthamiana
Lineage: Eukaryota; Viridiplantae; Streptophyta; Magnoliopsida; Solanales; Solanaceae
Description: long non-coding RNA (NBEN_LNC034313)
Source: RNAcentral
UUUGUUCUGUCGAUACUGUAAGAAGUCUGGACACUUAAUUGAUAAAUGUUUCAAGCUGCAUGGGUAUCCACAGAGUCCCACAUUUAACAAGAGAAGGAGGUCUGCUGCUGCCCAUCUGAGUAGUGAUUUGGAUUCAAAUAUUUCUGAUGGUAUAUUGCAUGUUCCUCAAGGGAAUGCUUCUGUUGACCAUCAUUCUACUGCAAGCUUAGAUGGUCCAAGCUCUGUGAUCCCUGGGUUGAGCAAGCAUGAUUAUAACCAGCUGAUGAUGAUGAUACACCAGUCCAAGCUGGGUGAAUCCACUGCUCAAGCUCCUUCUCCCUCAUAUGCACACUUUGCUGGUACUUUGUUGACUGAGAAUCCUGUAUCUGAUUCCAAACUUUGUUUGCUCACCCACAUUCAUUUUGUCACCUGGAUAAUAGAUUCAGGUGCUUCUAAUCAUAUAACUCAUGAUAAGAAUUUACUCUUUAAUAUUGUCCCUUUAGCUCUGCCUUACCUUGUUAGUCUUCCAAAUGGUUAUAAAGUCAAAGUAACCUGUACUGGCUCUUUUGCCUUGACUCCUUUCAUUACCCUUCACAAUGUGCUGCUUGUCCCCUCUUUUAAACACAACUUGAUAUUUGUUCACAAGUUAGUGAAGCAGUUACAUUGUAUUGUUAUGUUCACUGAACAUUCCUGUUUUCUACACAUGAUACAUGACCCUUCUCUGAGGAGGCCACUGGAUCUUGGUAGACAAUCUGCUGGACUGUAUAAACUAGCUUGGUCUCCUUCUUCCCCU